UACGGAGACCAAGUCACGUAUCUCUCCGCCUCUUCCCCAUUUCUCUUCGUCUUCUUCCUUGAAACCUCAGCGUUUCAGUUCUGAUUAUCCCCUUCUUCACUUUUAGAUUCUUCCCAAUCAAUUUCGCAAUCAAUUUUUUUCUUAAUAGUUUCGUUUCAUCUUCCCCCUUUCCUCCUUCUUUAUAUAAUGUUUUUUUUCCGAUUACAAAUCAAAACCCUAUAUUUACUCGAAACUCGAUCGAUGGCGAUGAAACCACAUGGGAAGUUGAUUAUCUCCUCUGAUUACGACGACAAAGUCGUGUUCUUCAAAGAUCUCUCCUUGGGUCACCACGAAGCUCAGUUGCGGUUUCGGCUCAUCCAUUUCUGGGAGGCUUGGAACCCAGUUAAGAAGACGCUCAUCGGCAUGGAGAUGCUACUCAUCGACGAGAAGGGAUUAGUAAUAUGUUAGUUACUAAGAUGCCGAAAGUGAAUUCUUAAUCAUUCUCUUUUACAGUUACCGUCUAUUUCAAAGGCUAUGGCGGAAGUGACAGAAACCGUGGAUCAGAUGCGGAGGAAUAGGUGGUUGCCAGGGAGAAGCGACUACUAUAUGUGUGGUAAGCCAGGUUACAUGGUCAGAGACUGUUUGGAGGACACGGAGGCGGUGGUGGCUACGGUUGAUGGACAGGAGGAGGUGGUGGCCACGAGGUGGAGUCAGGUACAAAGGUGGUCAGUAUCAACAAAAAUUUGAAGGGUCCUCUAUACGAUAAGCAUUUGAAGCUACAAAGGUUCUUGCUGAUGAUUAUCAACGCAAUGGCACUGCUUUUUAUCUUUGGGUAAUUAGUUUUCUUCUUCUGCUCUUUAUCCGUACAUUCUCUUGAUAUCUAAGCAAGUCACCUACCUUGCUUUUUGUUCUCUGAUUCAGGCAGUUAUGUCACAACAUUAACACCAGCCCCACUACUCUCCCCACUCUCCGUCAAUUAAACAUGAUAAUUAUCAUGAAAGCUAACCUUUUGGAGCUGUAUAUACUAUAAAUAUGUUUCAUCUCUGCGAUGAAAAUUCCAAACAGCUAAAAAAAUCUAAAACUCCGCUAUUUAUAAGUGAUGGAUCGUUUGUGUCUAUUAGCUUUUGUUUGGAUAUUUACUUGAUUUUAGGUGAUGCAAGUGAUGGAUGAUACCCUUUACCAGGUUCUAGAGUUGCGUCAACAC
Molecule: long non-coding RNA, 1183 nt
Organism: Brassica napus (rape)
Lineage: Eukaryota; Viridiplantae; Streptophyta; Magnoliopsida; Brassicales; Brassicaceae
Exons: 3
Source: RefSeq, a predicted model, not a curated record